Molecule: ribosomal RNA, 497 nt
Filed under: uncultured bacterium
Lineage: Bacteria
Description: partial 16S ribosomal RNA
Rfam family: Bacterial small subunit ribosomal RNA
Source: RNAcentral
GAUGAACGCUGGCGGCGUGCCUAAUACAUGCAAGUCGAGCGAACAGACGAGGAGCUUGCUCCUCUGACGUUAGCGGCGGACGGGUGAGUAACACGUGGAUAACCUACCUAUAAGACUGGGAUAACUUCGGGAAACCGGAGCUAAUACCGGAUAAUAUAUUGAACCGCAUGGUUCAAUAGUGAAAGACGGUUUUGCUGUAACUUAUAGAUGGAUCCGCGCGGCAUUAGCUAGUUGGUAAGGUAACGGCUUACCAAGGCAACGAGGCGUAGCCGACCUGAGAGGGUGGUCGGCCACAUUGGAGCUGAGCCACGGUCCAGACUCCUACGGGAGGCAGCAGUAGGGAAUCGGCCGCAAUGGGCGAAAGCCUGACGGAGCAACGCCGCGUGAGUGAUGAAGGUCUUCGGAUCGUAAAACUCGGUUAUUAGGGAAGAACAAAUGUGUAAGUAACUAUGCACGUCUUGACGGUACCUAAUCAGAAAGCCACGGCUAACUACGUG